UACGUUGUCUGCUAUACGCAGGAAGACCCGCUGA
Molecule: ribosomal RNA, 34 nt
Filed under: Trichomonas gallinae
Lineage: Eukaryota; Parabasalia; Trichomonadida; Trichomonadidae
Description: partial 28S ribosomal RNA
Source: RNAcentral